RNAcentral lists this small RNA (498 nucleotides) under fungal sp. JH 112. RNAcentral describes it as "eukaryotic LSU rRNA". The stretch from base 167 to 321 matches the Rfam family "5.8S ribosomal RNA". The record is from RNAcentral. Lineage: Eukaryota; Fungi.
GUCGCUGGCCUCUCGGGGCAUGUGCACGCCCGAGCCCUUGAAUCCCAAACACCACAUGUGAACCCACCGUAGGCCUUCGGGCCUAUGUCUUAUCAUAUAAUCUGAAUGUCUAAUAGAAUGUAAACCCAUUUCGUUGCCUUGAAAACGUAACGAAAGAAAACUAUACAACUUUCAACAACGGAUCUCUUGGCUCUCGCAUCGAUGAAGAACGCAGCGAAAUGCGAUAAGUAAUGUGAAUUGCAGAUUUUCAGUGAAUCAUCGAAUCUUUGAACGCACCUUGCGCCCCUUGGUAUUCCGAGGGGCAUGCCUGUUUGAGUGUCAUKAAAUCCUCAACCCCUCCGAUUCGUUUCGGUGGGGAUUGGACUUGGAGCGUGCUGGCGAAGGUCGGCUCCUCUUUAAAUGCAUCAGCGGAGAAAAUGCCUUUUGCGCCUCUGGCCGUUCAGCGUGAUAAUGAUGUUGCGCUGCGGUCGAGCUUAAGGUCCGCUUCCAAAGGUCCUC